GAUGAACGCUAGCUACAGGCUUAACACAUGCAAGUCGAGGGGUAACGAGAGGAAAGCUUGCUUUCCUUGUCGACGACCGGCGCACGGGUGAGUAACGCGUAUCCAACCUGCCCCCAACUAGGGAAUAACCUUGCGAAAGUAAGACUAAUACCCUAUAAUUUCCUCAGAUGCCAUCUGACGAGGAAUAAAGAUUUAUCGGUUGCGGAUGGGGAUGCGUCUGAUUAGCUUGUUGGCGGGGUAACGGCCCAACAAGGCAACGAUCAGUAGGGGUUCUGAGAGGAAGGUCCCCCACAUUGGAACUGAGACACGGUCCAAACUCCUACGGGAGGCAGCAGUGAGGAAUAUUGGUCAAUGGGCGGAAGCCUGAACCAGCCAAGUAGCGUGCAGGAUGACGGCCCUAUGGGUUGUAAACUGCUUUUAUACAGGAAUAAAGUUAGCCACGUGUGGUUAUUUGUAGGUACUGUAUGAAUAAGGACCGGCUAAUUCCGUGCCAGCCGCCGCCGUAA
RNAcentral lists this ribosomal RNA (506 nucleotides) under uncultured bacterium. Its description in RNAcentral is "partial 16S ribosomal RNA". It matches the Rfam family "Bacterial small subunit ribosomal RNA", at positions 28 to 523 of the family's 1533-position model. The record is from RNAcentral.